CCUACGGGUGGCAGCAGUAGGGAAUGUUGCGCAAUGGGCGAAAGCCUGACGCAGCAACGCCGCGUGAACGAGACGUACGUUGGGGGGUAAAGGUCUGUUAGUGGGGACGAAAAAUGACGGUACCCACAGAGGAAGCACCGGCUAACUCCGUGCCAGCAGCCGCGGUAAUACGGAGGGGGCAAGCGUUGUCCGGAAUCAUUGGGCGUAAAGAGUUCGUAGGCGGCAUGUAAAGUCAGGUGUUAAAGGCGCAGGCUCAACCUGUGGAUGGCACUUGAUACUUGCAAGCUGGAGUGCGGUAGAGGUAAGGGGAAUUCCUGGUGUAGCGGUGAAAUGCUUAGAUAUCAGGAGGAACAUCGGUGGCGUAGGCGCUUUACUGGGCCGUAAUUGACGCUGAGGAACGAAAGCCCGGGUAGCAAAUAGGAUUAGAUACCCUUGUAGUC
This 440-nucleotide ribosomal RNA is filed under the name uncultured bacterium. RNAcentral describes it as "partial 16S ribosomal RNA". It matches the Rfam family "Bacterial small subunit ribosomal RNA", at positions 338 to 795 of the family's 1533-position model. The record is from RNAcentral.